AAAAGCAUGAAAAGCUACGAUUGGGCAAAACUAUGAUUCGUUCACUAAAACGGUGCCGUCUCUUUGUGUUUCUGAAUCUGUAACAAAAAUGUUUAAAAACCCUAGUUAUUGUGCUAAUGUCUUGUGUGAUUUAAUUUUUUUUAUCAGAUUGGCUCUGAAUAUUUCUCUAACAAAAAUUGAUGGCUAUUUAUCUUCACACUUUAUCAGCUAAAAACGCAGGAUACUUUAUCACUAAAAUUGAUUGACAGAGGAAGCAUUUCAUUUGAAGCAGAGUCCUCAAUUUGUCUGUCAAGGCAUCCUUAUUGGACUCAAUCCCCAAUGUGACAGCAUCCCCGUAAGGCUGCUCUUUCUUCAUUUGAUGGGGCCACAUUGGCGUGGCCUCCAUGCAGAUUACUUGUCGUGUUAGAAUCUCGUUAGCUUAGUUAUUGGAAAUUUCUAAUUAAAUGUCAUUUUGUGUCUUAUCUUAUGCAAAUUAUUGUAUUGGAAUUCUAUCUUGUAUAUUCUGUUUAUAGGAGCAUGAUUCUUGUUUCGCAAAUGGUGAGGCGUAGUAUUUAUAUGCAUGAAUGUUCAAACAUGUAAAGAUGUGACAGAGGGAAAGGAAGGAAAUCAAAAUAAGAUUGUUGCUCUCA
Molecule: long non-coding RNA, 629 nt
Organism: Ricinus communis (castor bean)
Lineage: Eukaryota; Viridiplantae; Streptophyta; Magnoliopsida; Malpighiales; Euphorbiaceae
Exons: 2
Source: RefSeq, a predicted model, not a curated record